UCCAGCUGCACCUUGAGGUCGGCGACGUCGAGGCCCCACUCUUUGUCCUCGUCGAGGUAAUAGGGCACGAGGGUGCCGCCGUACAGAGCGAGCGAGGCGGAGUAGAGCGGGUACUGGGGGAUGGGAACCAUGACCGCAUCGUUGCCGUCGCGAAUCAGGGUUUUCAUGAUGUGGUGGCACGCGACGGAGGCGCCGUCGGUGAGCCAGAGGUCCUCGAUGUCGCACUUGUGCCCCCCAUCCCUUGCCUCGAUGCCGUCAGCGACCAUCUGGCGGAGCGCGGCGACCCCCUUGGACUCUGAGUAGGCGCCGGUGCCGCCCUUCAUGUUCCCUAGGAUGUGUUUGGCCGUGGAGAUGACGUCGGAGGGAAAGAGCUUCCCAGCCUCGGGCGCGUCCAUGAGCUGGGGGUAGUCCGUGAGCGCGAGCACCUGGCGGUAAAACGUGAUGGGCUUCUGGCCGACGCUCUGCGGGUUGCCGAUGUUGCACAUGACGAUCUUAUCGAAGGGUAAGGACGCCGGGUCCUUCUUGAGCUGCGCCUCGAGCUCCCCGGCCCUGGUCACGAUGGCGCCGCGAACGGCGUACUCCAUCGCCCUCACCUUGGGAUUGAUGGUGUCCACAGUUAUUGCCCCCAUCUCUCUCCGCGUCUGAAACUGGAGGUUUGUGAUGUGCGAGCCGAGCGUCGCGGGUGUCCUGUGCGUCGCGAGUUGUUCAACUCCGCGAGUGGCGCUGAGGAAUUGUCUGGUCGCGAAGCGUUUGGCGAGGCGGGAAAGAGUCGACAGCUUGACGGCUCGUCACGGCACUCGGAGGUGCGUCCGAUCCCAGGCGCGUCGAAGAAUACCGUUUAGGGCGGAGUCAGCUCGGCACCGGGAUUUGUGCGGGU
RNAcentral lists this long non-coding RNA (877 nucleotides) under Micromonas commoda. Its description in RNAcentral is "long non-coding RNA (MCOM_LNC000123)". The record is from RNAcentral. Lineage: Eukaryota; Viridiplantae; Chlorophyta; Mamiellophyceae; Mamiellales; Mamiellaceae.